This 497-nucleotide ribosomal RNA is filed under the name uncultured bacterium. RNAcentral describes it as "partial 16S ribosomal RNA". It matches the Rfam family "Bacterial small subunit ribosomal RNA", at positions 28 to 507 of the family's 1533-position model. The record is from RNAcentral.
GAUGAACGCUGGCGGCGUGCCUAAUACAUGCAAGUCGAGCGAACGGACGAGAAGCUUGCUUCUCUGAUGUUAGCGGCGGACGGGUGAGUAACACGUGGAUAACCUACCUAUAAGACUGGGAUAACUUCGGGAAACCGUAGCUAAUACCGGAUAAUAUUUUGAACCGCUUGGUUCAAAAGUGAAAGACGGUCUUGCUGUCACUUAUAGAUGGAUCCGCGCUGCAUUAGCUAGUUGGUAAGGUAACGGCUUACCAAGGCAACGAUGCAUAGCCGACCUGAGAGGGUGAUCGGCCACACUGGAACUGAGACACGGUCCAGACUCCUACGGGAGGCAGCAGUAGGGAAUCUUCCGCAAUGGGCGAAAGCCUGACGGAGCCACGCCGCGUGAGUGAUGAAGGUCUUCGGAUCGUAAAACUCUGUUAUUGGGGAAGAACAUAUGUGUAAGUAACUGUGCACAUCUUGACGGUACCUAAUCAGAAAGCCACGGCUAACUACGUG